GGGUUGUGAGGUUAAGCGACCAAGCGUACACGGUGGAUGCCCUGGCAGUCAGAGGCGAUGAAGGACGUGCUAAUCUGCGAAAAGCGCCGGUAAGGUGAUAUGAACCGUUAUAACCGGCGAUGUCCGAAUGGGGAAACCCAGUGUGACUCGUCACACUAUCAUUAACUGAAUCCAUAGGUUAAUGAGGCGAACCGGGGGAACUGAAACAUCUAAGUACCCCGAGGAAAAGAAAUCAACCGAGAUUCCCCCAGUAGCGGCGAGCGAACGGGGAGGAGCCCAGAGCCUGAAUCAGCAUAUGUGUUAGUGGAAACGUCUGGAAAGGCGCGCGAUACAGGGUGACAGCCCCGUACACAAAAGCGCAUAUGCUGUGAGCUCGAUGAGUAGGGCGGGACACGUGGUAUCCUGUCUGAAUAUGGGGGGACCAUCCUCCAAGGCUAAAUACUCCUGACUGACCGAUAGUGAACCAGUACCGUGAGGGAAAGGCGAAAAGAACCCCGGCGAGGGGAGUGAAACAGAACCUGAAACCGUGUACGUACAAGCAGUGGGAGCAUGAGUUUACUCAUGUGACUGCGUACCUUUUGUAUAAUGGGUCAGCGACUUAUAUUCUGUAGCAAGGUUAACCGUAUAGGGGAGCCGCAGGGAAACCGAGUCUUAACCGGGCGUUAAGUUGCAGGGUAUAGACCCGAAACCCGGUGAUCUAGCCAUGGGCAGGUUGAAGGUUGGGUAACACUAACUGGAGGACCGAACCGACUAAUGUUGAAAAAUUAGCGGAUGACCUGUGGCUGGGGGUGAAAGGCCAAUCAAACCGGGAGAUAGCUGGUUCUCCCCGAAAGCUAUUUAGGUAGCGCCUCGUGAAUUCAUCUCCGGGGGUAGAGCACUGUUUCGGCCAGGGGGCCAUCCCGGCUUACCAACCCGAUGCAAACUGCGAAUACCGGAGAAUGUUAUCACGGGAGACACACGGCGGGUGCUAACGUCCGUCGUGAAGAGGGAAACAACCCAGACCGCCAGCUAAGGUCCCAAAGUCAUGGUUAAGUGGGAAACGAUGUGGGAAGGCCCAGACAGCCAGGAUGUUGGCUUAGAAGCAGCCAUCAUUUAAAGAAAGCGUAAUAGCUCACUGGUCGAGUCGGCCUGCGCGGAAGAUGUAACGGGGCUAAACCAUGCACCGAAGCUGCGGCAGCGACACUGUGUGUUGUUGGGUAGGGGAGCGUUCUGUAAGCCUGCGAAGGUGGCCUGUGAGGGUUGCUGGAGGUAUCAGAAGUGCGAAUGCUGACAUAAGUAACGAUAAUGCGGGUGAAAAACCCGCACGCCGGAAGACCAAGGGUUCCUGUCCAACGUUAAUCGGGGCAGGGUGAGUCGACCCCUAAGGCGAGGCCGAAAGGCGUAGUCGAUGGGAAACGGGUUAAUAUUCCCGUACCUGGUGUUACUGCGAAGGGGGGACGGAGAAGGCUAUGUUGGCCGGGCGACGGUUGUCCCGGUUUAAGCGUGUAGGCUGGUUUUCCAGGCAAAUCCGGAAAAUCAAGGCUGAGGCGUGACGACGAGGCACUACGGUGCUGAAGCAACAAAUGCCCUGCUUCCAGGAAAAGCCUCUAAGCCUCAGGUAACAUCAGAUCGUACCCGAAACCGACACAGGUGGUCAGGUAGAGAAUACCAAGGCGCUUGAGAGAACCCGGGUGAAGGAACUAGGCAAAAUGGUGCCGUAACUUCGGGAGAAGGCACGCUGACACGUAGGUGAAGUGAUUUACUCAUGGAGCUGAAGUCAGUCGAAGAUACCAGCUGGCUGCAACUGUUUAUUAAAAACACAGCACUGUGCAAACACGAAAGUGGACGUAUACGGUGUGACGCCUGCCCGGUGCCGGAAGGUUAAUUGAUGGGGUCAGCGCAAGCGAAGCUCCUGAUCGAAGCCCCGGUAAACGGCGGCCGUAACUAUAACGGUCCUAAGGUAGCGAAAUUCCUUGUCGGGUAAGUUCCGACCUGCACGAAUGGCGUAAUGAUGGCCAGGCUGUCUCCACCCGGGACUCAGUGAAAUUGAACUCGCUGUGAAGAUGCAGUGUACCCGCGGCAAGACGGAAAGACCCCGUGAACCUUUACUAUAGCUUGACACUGAACACUGGUCCUUGAUGUGCAGGAUAGGUGGGAGGCUUUGAAGUGUGGACGCCAGUCUGCAUGGAGCCGUCCUUGAAAUACCACCCUUUAAUGGCUGGUGUUCUAACGUAGACCCGUGAACCGGGUUGCGGACAGUGUCUGGUGGGUAGUUUGACUGGGGCGGUCUCCUCCUAAAGCGUAACGGAGGAGCACGAAGGUUGGCUAAUCCUGGUCGGACAUCAGGAGGUUAGUGCAAUGGCAUAAGCCAGCUUGACUGCGAGCGUGACGGCGCGAGCAGGUGCGAAAGCAGGUCAUAGUGAUCCGGUGGUUCUGAAUGGAAGGGCCAUCGCUCAACGGAUAAAAGGUACUCCGGGGAUAACAGGCUGAUACCGCCCAAGAGUUCAUAUCGACGGCGGUGUUUGGCACCUCGAUGUCGGCUCAUCACAUCCUGGGGCUGAAGUAGGUCCCAAGGGUAUGGCUGUUCGCCAUUUAAAGUGGUACGCGAGCUGGGUUUAGAACGUCGUGAGACAGUUCGGUCCCUAUCUGCCGUGGGCGCUGGAGAACUGAGGGGGGCUGCUCCUAGUACGAGAGGACCGGAGUGGACGCAUCACUGGUGUUCGGGUUGUCAUGCCAAUGGCACUGCCCGGUAGCUAAAUGCGGAAGAGAUAAGUGCUGAAAGCAUCUAAGCACGAAACUUGCCCCGAGAUGAGUUCUCCCUGAGACUACGAGUCUCCUGAAGGAACGUUGAAGACGACGACGUUGAUAGGCCGGGUGUGUAAGCGCAGCGAUGCGUUGAGCUAACCGGUACUAAUGAACCGUGAGGCUUAACCUUACAACGCCGAAG
Molecule: ribosomal RNA, 2926 nt
Filed under: Salmonella enterica subsp. arizonae serovar 62:z36:- str. RKS2983
Lineage: Bacteria; Pseudomonadati; Pseudomonadota; Gammaproteobacteria; Enterobacterales; Enterobacteriaceae
Description: bacterial LSU rRNA
Rfam family: Bacterial large subunit ribosomal RNA
Source: RNAcentral